RNAcentral lists this long non-coding RNA (3082 nucleotides) under Hordeum vulgare. RNAcentral describes it as "long non-coding RNA (HVUL_LNC020519)". The record is from RNAcentral. Lineage: Eukaryota; Viridiplantae; Streptophyta; Magnoliopsida; Poales; Poaceae.
CACGAUUUCUUCAUCCUCAUUUCCCUUUAGAAAGAGCCGACGAACUAUGCCAUUAGGCUUGCAUUGUUUCUUCAGGACAGUACACAUGUUCUCCUGGGAGGAUUUGUCAAUUAGGAAAUCAAGGAUGGUGUCAUGGACUCUGCAAUACUUUGCCUUGCCGUCAUACCCUAUGUUUUCGGGCUGUAUUAGACUUCUGUUCACAAGCUGGUGAAAAUAUUCCUCUCCUAAUUCCAUGAGGUCUUGUCCACUUUCUGCAUGGAUAAAGCCUUCAGAAAUCCAUCUGCGUACCAGCCGUUGCCUUUCAAUCCUUUCGUCUUCAGGAAACAGAGCCAGAUACAAUAAGCAACUUCUUAGGUNNNNNNNNNNAUAAUUCAUAGGAUGUAACAAGUGUCUCUAGAUACAGUAACUCUCCAAUUUGCCUGGGUAGCUCCGUGAUUCCUGAACAAGAACUACAACACCACCAACCAUGUACCAAGUCUGGAAUAAACAUUGGGGGAUUCCACCAUCCCUGCCUUAAACUACAACACCGCCAGCCACCGAUGGGACUAAAUUGAGUAUGAUCCAAGGGCACAAUGAAUACAAAACAAAUNNNNNNNNNNNNNNNNNNNNNNNNNNNNNNNNNNNNNNNNNNNNNNNNNNNNNNNNNNNNNNNNNNNNNNNNNNNNNNNNNNNNNNNNNNNNNNNNNNNNNNNNNNNNNGGUUAUAGAAUAUAGAUGCACGGCAGAUCUUUUCUUCUCAUAAGGUACACGGUAUGUCUUUCCUAACAACAGAAAUCUGGGUUACAUAUCUAAGGCCCAAUCUAAGAAUACACAAAUAUUAAUGGAAAAAUACUAGGAGAGAUAAUCUACUAUUAUAAGAUAAAUAACACUUGAUGCAACCUCAAAUGACAAUCCACUUUUGCCCAAAAGAAUGUUACCGUUUUACAGAAGCAAAAAAAAAAAAUGCUUUCCACGAAUUCGUGAUACUUGUCUUACUUAUUCCUAGUCAUUCCACUAAUUCGUGAUACUUUCAGACAUAUACAGAAGUAUCAGUUGUGCAACACAAACCACAAGAGGACACCAGCUUUGAGACAAAGAGGUAGCCCGAAUAGAAAUGUGGAGCUUNNNNNNNNNNGUCCACAUCAGAGUGACUUGGGCUCCAUAUAUAACCAAAGGUGCAUCUCGGUUUAGGCAUCUAGGACUUCACGGCUUGCGUUGUAGCUGAAAUAGAUUACCGCUACUGCUCGCCAAGACAAAAGUACAAACUUGUUAGUAGUAACAUAUGCUGCGGACCAAGUCUUGUCAUCUCCAGUAUUGGACGGUUGGGGUUCGCCUCGGCCAUUCUCUUGAAAGCAUCAUCCGCAGCCUUUACUUCUGCCUCCGUGCAGCCAGUGCAGUCUAUGCCGACAAUGAGGCGAGCAAGGCUGGAGAGGCGCUGGAUGCCAAAGUCGAAAUCGACCGCAGCAGAUUUGAGCUGUUUGAAGCCAUAAAGUUUAAACUCCUUGAGCCUCUGCAUAGCCCCCGGUUCAAACAUUAAAACUCCCAUAUGAGCAUUGUAAACCUCAAAUCUCUGCAACUGUUGAAAUCCUUCGCGCCUAAUGAUGAGCCGCCCAGUGUCCUCUCUGAAAGACAAUGACAAUUCCAUCAGAUUGGGUAUCAAUCCAAUCAUCUCAAUAUCCUGCUGCUCUAUCUUCGGAUGGUUGAAAUAUAACACAUGUAGGUUGGGAAGUGACGCGAUCCAUCUGGUAAUCCGGCUCAUAUCUUUUCCAUAUACACAAACCUCCUGGAUACAACCCAAAGCAGGGAGGAACGGCUCUUGUCUAUCCUUUUCUCGCAGUACAUAAUCAAUACGCAGGGAAUGGAGGCCACAUUCGUCCAGUUUACAGAGAGAGGACACCAGCUUUUCCUUGGACUGUUCUAAUUUGUCGCCUUCUAUCUCAUCAGUGUUCAAUUUAAUACUCAGCUUUUUCAGGUUUGUUAGUUUGCCGAGCUCUUCCACAUGCUUCGACUGCAAGGCAUCAACGCAACCAAGCUCUUGCAAGUUUAUCAAGUUUCCCAACCCAUCUGGAAGUUUACAACCGGGGCGAACAAACAAACGUGCCAGUCGUUGUAGCCGAGUUGUGCUUUCAGGAAGCUCACGUAAUGCAUAGGAUGUAACUAGCGUCUCUAGAUACAAUAGCUCCCCAAUUUGCCUGGGUAGCUCCGUGAUUCCUGUACCAGAGAUAUCCAAGUAUCUCAGCUGAUAGAGUCUUUCAAUACCCUUGAUAUGACGAUUUUUCAACUGAUCACAGCUUUGCAAGUCUAGCACGCGCAAGCAUUUUGACCUCCCAAGCGAAGGCAAUAGCUUGAUAUCCCCAAAAGCACUGAUUGACCGCGCGUGUGACAAAUCCAAUUGCUCCACGAUUUCUUCAUCCUCAUUUCCCUUUAGAGAGAGGCGACGAACUACGCCAUUAGGCUUGCAUUGUUUCUUUAGGACAGUACACAUGUUCUCUUCGGAGGAUUUCUCAAUUAGGAAAUCAAGGAUGGUGUCAUGGACUCGGCAAUACCUUGCCUUGCCGUCAUACCCUAUGUUGUCGGGCUGUAUUAGACUUCGGUUCACAAGCUGGUGAAAAUAUUCCUCUCCUAAUUCCAUGAGAUCUUGUCCACUUUCUCCAUGGAUAAAGCCUUCAGAAAUCCAUCUGCGNNNNNNNNNNAUGAAAAUAUUCCUCUCCUAAUUCCAUGACAUCUUGUCCACUUUCUCCAUGGAUAAAGCCUUCAGAAAUCCAUCUGCGUACCAACCGUUGCCUUUCAAUUAUUUCGUCUUCAGGAAACAGAGCCAGAUACAAUAAGCAACUUCUUAGGUGGUGGGGAAGAUCAAAAUAACUAAGAGAUAAUAUGUAAUUCAUGGUCUCUAUUAUAUCACUUUUGGCCUUUGAAGAGCGUAUUGAAUGUCGCACCCGAUCCCACUCUUCUUUUGUUUCCCUUGUUGUGGCCAACAAGCUAGAAAUGGCAUUGAUGGCCAGAGGUAGACCACGACAUUUCUUCAAAAUUUCAUUGGCAGCUUCUUUCAAGAUAUCAGGACAGCUUUCUUCACAACCAAAUAUCCUCUUGAAAAACAAUUUCUU